GGUGACAGAGUGAGGGAAUGACUGGUGACAGAGUGAGAGAGAGGGUGACUAGUGACCGAGUGAGGGAGGGAGUGGGUGACUAGUGACAGAGUGAGGAAGGGGGUGACACAGUGAUAGUCACCCCAUUCCUCCCUCUGUCACUAAUCACCACCUCCCUCACUCUCACUAGUCACCCUUCCCUCCCUCACUCUGUCACUAGUCACACCCUCCCUCUCUCUGUCACUAGUCACACCCUUACUGUCACUAGUCACACCCUUACUCACUGUCACUAGUCACACCCUCCCUCUCUCUG
RNAcentral lists this small RNA (292 nucleotides) under Pelobates cultripes (western spadefoot toad). Lineage: Eukaryota; Metazoa; Chordata; Amphibia; Anura; Pelobatidae. The record is from RNAcentral.